RNAcentral lists this transfer RNA (72 nucleotides) under Cellvibrio sp. KY-GH-1. RNAcentral describes it as "tRNA-Leu". It matches the Rfam family "tRNA". Rfam says of the family: Transfer RNA (tRNA) molecules are approximately 80 nucleotides in length. Their secondary structure includes four short double-helical elements and three loops (D, anti-codon, and T loops). Further hydrogen bonds mediate the characteristic L-shaped molecular structure. tRNAs have two regions of fundamental functional importance: the anti-codon, which is responsible for specific mRNA codon recognition, and the 3' end, to which the tRNAs corresponding amino acid is attached (by aminoacyl-tRNA synthetases). tRNAs cope with the degeneracy of the genetic code in two manners: having more than one tRNA (with a specific anti-codon) for a particular amino acid; and 'wobble' base-pairing, i.e. permitting non-standard base-pairing at the 3rd anti-codon position. The record is from RNAcentral. Lineage: Bacteria; Pseudomonadati; Pseudomonadota; Gammaproteobacteria; Cellvibrionales; Cellvibrionaceae.
AAUGCUAUAGCUCAUUGGUAGAGCAGUUGAUUAAGGUUCAACCGGUUGCCGGUUCAACUCCGGCUAGCAAAU